GCAAGUCGAGGGGUAACAGGAGGUGCUUGCACUUCGCUGACGACCGGCGCACGGGUGAGUAACGCGUAUACAAUUUACCUUAUACAGGGGGAUAGCCUUUAGAAAUGAAGAUUAAUACCCCAUGGUUUAUUAGAAUCACCUGAUUUUAAUAGUAAAGAUUUAUCGGUAUAAGAUGAGUAUGCGUUCUAUUAGCUAGAUGGUAAGGUAACGGCUUACCAUGGCGACGAUAGAUAGGGGCCCUGAGAGGGGGAUC
RNAcentral lists this ribosomal RNA (253 nucleotides) under uncultured bacterium. RNAcentral's name for it is "partial 16S ribosomal RNA". It matches the Rfam family "Bacterial small subunit ribosomal RNA", at positions 57 to 305 of the family's 1533-position model. The record is from RNAcentral.